Molecule: ribosomal RNA, 492 nt
Filed under: uncultured bacterium
Lineage: Bacteria
Description: partial 16S ribosomal RNA
Rfam family: Bacterial small subunit ribosomal RNA
Source: RNAcentral
GGUGAACGCUGGCGGCGGGCCUAACACAUGCAAGUCGAACGGAAAGACAGUAAGCUUUUGCCCUUACGGGUGGCGGGUGGCGGGCGGGUGACGAGUGCAUCGGCAUCUUAUUUUUCGUGGGGGAUAACGUAGGGAAGCUUACGCUACUACCGAAUAUGUUGUACCGGUGGGAGCAGGGGAUAAUCGCAGCUUUCGCGUCUGUAUGAGCUGAUGCCGCGUUAGCUAGUUGGGGAGGUAAGGGCCCACCAAGGCAACGAUACGUUGCUUGUCUGAGAGGAUGAUCAGCCACACUGGAACUGAGACACGGUCCAGACUCCUACGGGAGGCAGCAGUGGGGAAUAUUGGACAAUGGGCGCAAGCCUGAUGCAGCCAUACCGCGUGUGUGAAGAAGGCCUUCGGAUCGUAAAGCCCUGUUGUUGGGAAAGAACAGCUGUGUGUUAAUACCCCGCUGUCCUGACGGUACCCAAAGAAUAAGCACCGGCUAACUACGUG